UACAUNGCAAGUCGAGCGGACUUGCUGGAGCUUGCUCCAGCAGGUUAGCGGCGGACGGGUGAGUAACACGUGGGCAACCUGCCUGUAAGACUGGGAUAACUCCGGGAAACCGGAGCUAAUACCGGAUAGUAUCUUGAACCGCAUGGUUCAAGUUGGAAAGACGGUUUCGGCUGUCACUUACAGAUGGGCCCGCGGCGCAUUAGCUAGUUGGUGAGGUAAUGGCUCACCAAGGCAACGAUGCGUAGCCGACCUGAGAGGGUGAUCGGCCACACUGGGACUGAGACACGGCCCAGACUCCUACGGGAGGCAGCAGUAGGGAAUCUUCCGCAAUGGACGAAAGUCUGACGGAGCAACGCCGCGUGAGUGAUGAAGGUUUUCGGAUCGUAAAACUCUGUUGUUAGGGAAGAACAAGUGCGAGAGUAACUGCUCGCACCUUGACGGUACCUAACCAGAAAGCCACGGCUAACUACGUGCCAGCAGCCGCGGUAAUACGUAGGUGGCAAGCGUUGUCCGGAAUUAUUGGGCGUAAAGCGCGCGCAGGCGGUUUCUUAAGUCUGAUGUGAAAGCCNNNNNCUCNNNCGGGGAGGGUCAUUGGAAACUGGGAAACUUGAGUGCAGAAGAGGAGAGUGGAAUUNNNCNUGUAGCGGUGAAAUGCGUAGAGAUGUGGAGGAACNNCNNUGGCGAAGGCGACUCUCUGGUCUGUAACUGACGCUGAGGCGCGAAAGCGUGGGGAGCGAACAGGAUUAGAUACC
This 752-nucleotide ribosomal RNA is filed under the name Bacillus sp. LKS-127. RNAcentral's name for it is "partial 16S ribosomal RNA". It matches the Rfam family "Bacterial small subunit ribosomal RNA", at positions 52 to 786 of the family's 1533-position model. Lineage: Bacteria; Bacillati; Bacillota; Bacilli; Caryophanales; Bacillaceae. The record is from RNAcentral.